Molecule: ribosomal RNA, 468 nt
Filed under: uncultured bacterium
Lineage: Bacteria
Description: bacterial SSU rRNA
Rfam family: Bacterial small subunit ribosomal RNA
Source: RNAcentral
CGAACGGGUGAGUAACACGUGGGUAAUCUCCACCCCGAGUGAGGAAUAAGUCUGAGAAAGCGGGUCUAAUACCGCAUGACGUCCCGGGACGUAUGUCCUUGGACCAAAGCCGUAAGGCGCUUGGGGAUGAGCCUGCGUCCUAUUAGCUAGUUGGUAGGGUAACGGCCUACCAAGGCGAUGAUGGGUAGCCGGCCUGAGAGGGUGAACGAGCACACUGGAACUGAGAUUUCGGUCCAUACUCCUACGGGAGGCAGCAGUGAGGAAUUUAGCGCAAUGGGCGAAAGCCUGACGCAGCGACGCCGCGUGGAGGAAGACGGCCUUCGGGUUGUAAACUCCUGUCAGAGGUGAAGAAUGCCCGCAAGGGCUUGACGGUAACCUCAGAGGAAGCCCCGGCUAACUACGUGCCAGCAGACGCGGUAAUACGUAGGGGGCGAGCGUUGCUCGGAAUUACUGGGCGUAAAGGGAGUG